UACGUAGGGGGCAAGCGUUGUCCGGAUUUAUUGGGCGUAAAGAGCGUGUAGGCGGCCAUACAGGUCAGCUGUGAAACUCGAGGCUCAACCUCGAGACGUCGGUUGAAACCGUAUGGCUAGAGUCCGGAAGAGGAGAGUGGAAUUCCCGGUGUAGCGGUGAAAUGCGCAGAUAUCGGGAAGAACACCCGUGGCGAAGGCGGCUCUCUGGGACGGUACUGACGCUGAGGAGCGAAAGCAUGGGAGCGAACAGG
RNAcentral lists this ribosomal RNA (251 nucleotides) under uncultured bacterium. RNAcentral describes it as "partial 16S ribosomal RNA". It matches the Rfam family "Bacterial small subunit ribosomal RNA", at positions 524 to 776 of the family's 1533-position model. The record is from RNAcentral.